CUACAGUAUAAUAAUAUCAAGUACAUUAUUAGUAUACUUUCACACUGGAGAACUCUAACCUCGUUACGCCCAUGGGUUACCCAGCCGGGAGGACUCUGAGGCAGACUUAAGGUACAGCUUUGUCUCUGAGCCCCGAUCCUGCAGCUCACAGCCAGGAGAAGAGGCCUGGCUUGAGCAGCGCUCCCCACUCGGACUGGCGGGUACGGCUACGUGGAACUGUUCUCAUGGAGGAAGUUGCAGGAUGAGGUGUGGUAGCAUGGAGUUCACGUCUCGCACAUUCGAUUAGGAUAGAACCAUGAGAAGGUGCCACAGCGACGCCGCCGAUGUCAUCAUCCAAAAAGUUGUGCUCGCUGUCUGACCACAUUUCCUCAGCUUUUUCUUCAGAGUCAGUCGGUUGUCCCAGUGCACUGUUUUGCUUUUCGUCAGUGCAGUCAAAAUCACACAUCUGUUCUCGAUGGGAGCUACCCUUUUCCACCGGGCAUCUGUGGGAACAGUCGGCUUCAUUUCCAACUGCGUCCUUUGCUGGAGAGCUUAACGGUACCGACAAAUCGCAAGAGCUGAUCAUCUGUGAAGAAGGAGAACUGUCUGACUGAGGCUGACAAUUCUGCUUGUCUGGCUGAUGUUCAAGUAUACUGGGCAGGGGGUCUUUGUGGGCUGGGGGGCCUGGAGCAGUGACCUCUGGAAGAAUUGGCGGCACACCGUUCAUCUUAUCAUUCAGCAAAAUUCCAGUAUAAUCUUUGACAGACACAUCAAAGUUCUUACAAUUAAUAUAAGGUGUCACGUGAGGUUGCUUACUACUGCAUUCAAAAUACCCGUAGGGAACUGAAAAAUCUUGUUGAAUAUUAGUCACUGCUGUUAUUCCAGGCUUAUGUGCUAACGAUGAAUAAGGAUGUAAACUAUCCACCUUAAAAGGGGGGGAAGCCGUAUACUGUUUUAAUAGGGAGCAAUUUUUCGUAGUGUUUGAAGUAUGUUUCAUGGCACAGAGGUGAUCAGAAGUCUCCGUUUU
RNAcentral lists this long non-coding RNA (1006 nucleotides) under Gallus gallus (chicken). RNAcentral's name for it is "long non-coding RNA NONGGAT008070". The record is from RNAcentral. Lineage: Eukaryota; Metazoa; Chordata; Aves; Galliformes; Phasianidae.